UCCNGGCUCAGAUNGAACGCNGGNCGGCAGGCNNNACACAUGCAAGUCGAACGGUAGCACAGAGAGCUUGCUCUCGGGUGACGAGUGGCGGACGGGUGAGUAAUGUCUGGGAAACUGCCCGAUGGAGGGGGAUAACUACUGGAAACGGUAGCUAAUACCGCAUAACGUCGCAAGACCAAAGAGGGGGACCUUCGGGCCUCUUGCCAUCGGAUGUGCCCAGAUGGGAUUAGCUUGUAGGUGAGGUAACGGCUCACCUAGGCGACGAUCCCUAGCUGGUCUGAGAGGAUGACCAGCCACACUGGAACUGAGACACGGUCCAGACUCCUACGGGAGGCAGCAGUGGGGAAUAUUGCACAAUGGGCGCAAGCCUGAUGCAGCCAUGCCGCGUGUAUGAAGAAGGCCUUCGGGUUGUAAAGUACUUUCAGCGGGGAGGAAGGGAGUGAGGUUAAUAACCUCAUUCAUUGACGUUACCCGCAGAAGAAGCACCGGCUAACUCCGUGCCAGCAGCCGCGGUAAUACGGAGGGUGCAAGCGUUAAUCGGAAUUACUGGGCGUAAAGCGCACGCAGGCGGUCUGUCAAGUCGGAUGUGAAAUCCCCGGGCUCAACCUGGGAACUGCAUUCGAAACUGGCAGGCUGGAGUCUUGUAGAGGGGGGUAGAAUUCCAGGUGUAGCGGUGAAAUGCGUAGAGAUCUGGAGGAAUACCGGUGGCGAAGGCGGCCCCCGGNCAAAGAC
Molecule: ribosomal RNA, 732 nt
Filed under: Enterobacter kobei
Lineage: Bacteria; Pseudomonadati; Pseudomonadota; Gammaproteobacteria; Enterobacterales; Enterobacteriaceae
Description: bacterial SSU rRNA
Rfam family: Bacterial small subunit ribosomal RNA
Source: RNAcentral